RNAcentral lists this ribosomal RNA (492 nucleotides) under uncultured bacterium. RNAcentral describes it as "partial 16S ribosomal RNA". It matches the Rfam family "Bacterial small subunit ribosomal RNA", at positions 29 to 507 of the family's 1533-position model. The record is from RNAcentral.
AGUGAACGCUGGCGGUAGGCCUAACACAUGCAAGUCGAACGGCAGCACAGUAAGAGCUUGCUCUUACGGGUGGCGAGUGGCGGACGGGUGAGGAAUACAUCGGAAUCUACUUUUUCGUGGGGGAUAACGUAGGGAAACUUACGCUAAUACCGCAUACGACCUACGGUUGAAAGCAGGGGAUCUUCGGACCUUGCGCGAUUGAAUGAGCCGAUGUCGGAUUAGCUAGUUGGCGGGGUAAAGGCCCACCAAGGCGACGAUCCGUAGCUGGUCUGAGAGGAUGAUCAGCCACACUGGAACUGAGACACGGUCCAGACUCCUAAGGGAGGCAGCAGUGGGGAAUAUUGGACAAUGGGCGCAAGCCUGAUCCAGCCAUACCGCGUGGGUGAAGAAGGCCUUCGGGUUGUAAAGCCCUUUUGUUGGGAAAGAAAAGCAGCAGGUUAAUACCACGCUGUUCUGACGGUACCCAAAGAAUAAGCACCGGCUAACUUCGUG